Molecule: small nucleolar RNA, 107 nt
Organism: Lactuca sativa (garden lettuce)
Lineage: Eukaryota; Viridiplantae; Streptophyta; Magnoliopsida; Asterales; Asteraceae
Source: RefSeq, a predicted model, not a curated record
AGAUCGUGUUGAGGGCAGUGCAUUAGCAUUCCCUUGUAUCUCUCCUAAGCUUCAUACAAAGAUUCACUAUCGUUUUGUUGGAAGUUUUCUAUUUUCUUCUUGAGUGU